GCCUUCCAGCCCCGCCCCAAGCGCCGAGGCCCGGCUUCCAGGCUCCGCCCCGAUCCGCGCGGUGGGGAAGAGCCGCUGCCGCUGGUUCUCCGGCUCUUCCUCGGCGGUUCUGGCUCCCGGCCGCGCCGCAGCCCUGCCCAGUCUCUCUCCCGCAGCCCGAAGGGCUCCUCCGCGCCGCACGUGAGCGCGCCCGCCAACAGGGCCACUGCCGCGAUACUUUUCUGUUGUGAGAAUGUAAGAUGGAUCCAGAAGAGCAGGAGCUCUUAAAUGAUUACAGAUACAGAAGCUACUCUUCAGUGAUUGAAAAGGCUUUGAGAAAUUUUGAGUCCUCGAGUGAAUGGGCGGAUCUUAUAUCUUCACUUGGCAAACUCAACAAGGCUCUUCAGAGUAACCUGAGGUACUCCUUGUUGCCAAGACGGCUCCUCAUCAGCAAAAGAUUAGCUCAGUGUUUGCAUCCUGCCCUGCCCAGUGGUGUGCACUUAAAAGCUCUAGAAACCUACGAGAUUAUCUUUAAAAUUGUGGGGACCAAAUGGCUGGCCAAGGACUUGUUUCUGUACAGCUGCGGGUUAUUUCCUCUCCUGGCACACGCGGCGGUGUCGGUGAGGCCGGUGCUGCUCACCCUGUACGAGAAGUACUUCCUCCCACUGCAGAAGCUGCUCCUGCCCAGUCUGCAGGCCUUCAUCGUGGGCCUGCUGCCCGGCCUUGAAGAGGGCUCCGAGAUCUCCGACAGAACGGAUGCUCUGCUCCUGAGACUGUCGCUGGUGGUUGGCAAAGAGGUGUUUUACACCGCCCUCUGGGGGAGCGUCCUGGCCAGCCCGUCCAUCCGCCUCCCUGCCUCAGUCUUCGUGGUGGGCCACAUCAACAGGGAUGCCCCCGGCCGGGAGCAGAAGUACAUGCUGGGGACCAAUCACCAACUCACGGUGAAGUCUUUGCGUGCCUCCCUGUUGGACUCAAAUGUUCUUGUGCAAAGAAAUAAUCUGGAAAUCGUUCUGUUUUUCUUCCCAUUUUAUACCUGUCUGGAUUCCAAUGAGAGAGCCAUCCCCCUCCUCAGAUCUGACAUCGUGCGCAUUCUCUCAGCUGCCACCCAGACCCUACUGAGAAGGGACAUGUCCCUGAACAGAAGACUGUAUGCAUGGUUACUAGGCUCGGACAUAAAAGGAAAUACCGUUGUGCCAGAAUCUGAAAUCUCAAAUUCUUAUGAAGACCAGUCGUCUUAUUUUUUUGAAAAAUACUCCAAGGAUCUUUUAGUUGAGGGUUUGGCUGAGAUAUUGCAUCAGAAGUUCAUAGAUGCUGACGUGGAGGAACGCCAUCAUGCAUACCUGAAGCCUUUUCGCGUCCUCAUCAGUCUGCUUGACAAGCCAGAAAUAGGGCCUCAAGUGGUUGGGAAUUUGUUUCUCGAAGUCAUCAGGGCCUUUUAUUCUUACUGCAGAGAUGCCCUUGGCUCUGAUCUUAAACUUAGCUACACCCAGAGUGGAAAUUCGCUGAUAAGUGCAAUCAAGGAAAACAGAAAUGCCUCUGAGAUAGUCAAAACGGUAAAUUUGCUGAUAACUUCUCUAAGCACAGACUUUCUCUGGGAUUAUAUGACAAGGUGUUUUGAGGAAUGCUUUAGACCAGUGAAGCAGCGUUACAGCGUGAGGAACAGCGUCAGCCCUCCCCCCACGGUCUCGGAGCUCUGCACCCUCCUGGUCUUCCUGCUGGAUGUCAUUCCCUUGGAACUUUACUCUGAGGUGCAAACCCAGUAUCUCCCUCAGGUGCUCGGCUGCCUGGUGCAGCCUCUUGCUGAGGACAUGGAGGCCUUAAGUUUACCUGAACUCACGCAUGCCUUGAAGACGUGUUUCAAGGUGCUCAGCAAAGUCCAGAUGCCUCCUUCCUACCUCGACACGGAGUCCACCAGCGGAACCUCGAGUCCAGUAAAAGGUGAAAAUGGCAAAAUAAUUUUGGAAACAAAGGCAGUGAUUCCCGGUGACGAAGAUGCUUCGUUUCCCCCUCUGAAGUCUGAGGACAGUGGGAUCGGGCUCAGUGCCUCGUCACCGGAGCUCUCUGAGCACUUGAGGGUUCCUCGAGUUUCUCUGGAAAGGGACGAUGUUUGGAAGAAGGGCGGGAGCAUGCAGAGGACGUUUCUUUGUAUCCAAGAGCUAAUCGCCAACUUUGCCAGCAAGAACAUUUUUGGAGUACAGCUGACAGCGUCAGGAGAAGAAAGCAAGUCCGAGGAGCCUGCAGGGAAGAGGGACAGGGAUGGGACGCAGAGCCUGGCAGCCAAUGAUUCCAGCAGGAAGAACUCUUGGGAGCCCAAGCCCAUCACUGUGCCUCAGUUCAAGCAGAUGCUUUCAGACUUGUUCACAGCACGAGGGUCUCCAUUCAAGACAAAAAGUUCAGAGUCACCAUCGUCUUCGCCCAGCAGCCCUGCCAGGAAAAACGGGGGAGAAUGGGAUGUUGAGAAGGUGGUCAUUGACCUGGGGGGUUCCAGGGAGGAACGCAGGGAGGCCUUUGCCGCCGCCUGCCACCUGCUGCUGGAUUGUGCCACUUUCCCUGUCUACCUGUCCGAGGAAGAGACCGAGCAGCUCUGUGCAACGCUCUUCCAGCUGCCAGGAGCCGGUGAUUCCAGUUUUCCAUCUUGGCUGAAGUCCCUCAUGACUAUUUGCUGCUGUGUGACUGACUGCUACCUCCAGAACGUGGCCAUUUCCACUCUGCUGGAAGUGAUAAACCAUUCCCAGUCCCUGGCGCUUGUCAUUGAAGACAAGAUGAAACGCUAUAAGAGCUCUGGACACAACCCUUUUUUUGGCAAGCUGCAGAUGGUGACGGUUCCUCCCAUUGCUCCAGGGAUAUUGAAAGUCAUUGCAGAGAAAACAGAUUUCUAUCAGAGGGUGGCUCGUGUGCUUUGGAAUCAGCUGAACAAAGAGACCCGGGAGCAUCACGUCACCUGCGUAGAAUUGUUCUACCGGCUGCACUGCCUGGCCCCUACGGCCAACAUCUGCGAGGACAUCAUCUGCCAUGCCCUCCUGGACCCUGACAAGGGAACAAGGCUGGAAGCUCUGUUUAGAUUUUCCGUGAUCUGGCACCUGACAAGAGAGAUCCAAGGCAGUCGAGUAACAUCUCACAAUCGCUCCUUUGAUAGGUCCUUGUUUGUCGUGCUGGACAGCCUGGCCUGCACGGAUGGUGCCAUCGGUGCGGCAGCCCAGGGCUGGCUGGUGCGUGCGCUCUCCCUCGGGGACGUGGCUCGCAUCCUCGAACCCGUGCUCCUGCUGCUGCUGCAGCCAAAAACCCAGAGAACCUCCAUCCACUGCCUCAAGCAGGAGAACUCGGCCGAUGACUUGCACCGUUGGUUUAACAGGAAGAAAACCUCUUUCAGAGAGGCAUGCGCAGUGCCCGAGCCUCAGGAGAGCGGCUCUGAAGAGCACCUGCCUCUGAGCCAGUUCACCACAGUGGACCGUGAAGCCAUUUGGGCUGAAGUGGAGAAGGAGCCCGAGAAGUACCCGCUGCGAGGCGAGCUGAGCGAGGAAGAGCUGCCCUACUACGUGGAGCUUCCAGACAGGACGGCCCACGGCGCCCCGGACAGCAGCGAGCACACCGAGUCUGCAGAUACAAGCUCCGGCCACACGGACAGCGAGAACACGUCCUCCUUCUCCUCCCCUUCCCACGACCCGCAGGAGCUGAGCAACGAAGAGUACUGCUGUGCGCCCAUCCCCAUGGGGGGCAGGGCGUACCCCAAGCGCUCGGCCCUGCUGGCGGCCUUCCAGUCAGAAAGCUUCAAGGCUGGGGCCAAGUUAAGCCUGGUGCGGGUGGACUCGGACAAGACGCAGGCUUCUGAGUCGUUCUCCAGCGACGAGGAGGCGGACUUGGAGCUCCAGGCCCUCACCACGUCCAGGCUGCUGAAGCAGCAGCGGGAAAGGCAGGAGGCCGUCGAGGCCUUGUUCAAGCACAUCCUGCUCUACCUGCAGCCCUACGACUCUCGGCGGGUCCUCUAUGCCUUCUCGGUGCUGGAGGCUGUGCUCAAAACCAACCCUAAGGAAUUCAUCGAGGCUGUGUCCAGGACCAGCAUGGAUACCAGCUCCACCGCGCACCUCAACCUCAUCUCCAACCUCCUCGCUCGCCACCAGGAGGCCCUCAUUGGCCAGAGUUUCUACGGAAAGCUCCAGACCCAGGCCCCCAACGUGUGUCCCCACUCUCUGCUCCUGGAGCUGCUCACCUACCUCUGCCUGAGCUUCCUGCGCUCCUACUACCCUUGCUAUUUGAAGGUCUCGCACCGAGACAUUCUCGGCAACCGGGACGUGCAGGUCAAAAGUGUCGAGGUUUUGAUCAGGAUAAUGAUGCAGCUGGUCUCAGUGGCCAAGUCUUCGGAAGGGAAGAACGUGGAGUUCAUCCACAGCUUGCUGCAGAGGUGCAAAGUUCAGGAGUUUGUCCUGCUCUCCCUGUCGGCGUCCAUGUACACGAGCCAGAAGCGCUACGGGCUGGCCACCGCCCACCACGGCAGGGCCCUGCCAGAGGACAGCCUCUUUGAGGAGAGUCUCAUUAACCUGGGUCAGGACCAGAUCUGGAGUGAGCACCCGCUGCAGAUUGAGCUGCUGAAGCUGCUGCAGGUGCUGAUUGUCUUGGAACACCACCUGGGUCGGGCCCACGAGGAGGCGGAAAACCAGCCCGACCUGUCCCGGGAGUGGCAGAGAGCCCUGAACUUCCAACAGGCCAUCAGCGCCCUGCAGUACGUGCAGCCCCACCCCCUCACCUCCCAGGGUCUGCUGGUCUCUGCGGUGGUGAGGGGUCUGCAGCCCGCCUACGGCUACGGCAUGCAUCCGGCCUGGGUGAGCUUGGUCACGCAUUCCUUGCCCUACUUCGGAAAGUCUCUGGGCUGGACGGUGACACCCUUUGUUGUCCAGAUUUGCAAAAACUUGGAUGACUUGGUCAAGCAGUAUGAAAGCGAAUCUGUGAAGCUCUCUGUCAGCACAACCUCCAAGAGGGAAAACAUUUCUCCAGAUUAUCCACUCACCCUUCUAGAAGGUCUAACGACCAUUAGUCAUUUUUGUCUUUUGGAACAAGCCAACCAAAACAAAAAGACCAUGGCUGCAGGUGAUCCUGCCAACUUGAGGAAUGCCAGAAAUGCCAUUUUGGAAGAGCUGCCUCGAACUGUUAACACCAUGGCCCUUCUCUGGAAUGUUCUCAGAAAGGAGGAGACUCAAAAGAGACCUGUCGAUCUCCUAGGGGCCACGAAGGGAUCCUCUUCCGUUUACUUUAAAACCACCAAAACCAUAAGACAAAAAAUUUUAGACUUCUUAAACCCCUUGACGGCCCAUCUUGGGGUUCAGUUGACAGCGGCUGUUGCGGCAGUGUGGAGCAGAAAGAAAGCCCAGCGUCACAGUAAGAUGAAGAUUAUCCCAACGGCAAGUGCAUCCCAGCUAACCCUUGUCGACUUGGUGUGUGCACUCAGCACCCUGCAGACUGACACGCUGCUGCACCUGGUGAAGGAGGUGGUGAAGAGGCCACCCCAAGUCAAAGGGGGUGAUGAGAAAUCGCCCCUAGUGGACAUUCCUGUGUUGCAGUUUUGCUAUGCUUUUCUCCAAAGGCUCCCAGUACCAGCCUUGCAAGAGAACUUUUCUUCACUGUUGGGAGUAUUGAAAGAGUCUGUACAGUUGAAUCUAGCCCCACCUGGGUAUUUUCUGCUUCUCAGCAUGCUGAAUGACUUUGUAACAAGAACUCCCAACCUGGAAAACAAGAAGGACCAAAAAGACCUGCAGGAAAUCACUCAGAAAAUCCUAGAAGCUGUGGGGAACAUUGCCGGCUCUUCCUUGGAGCAAACCAGCUGGCUAGGCAGAAACCUGGAAGUGAAGGCCCAACCUCAGGCCUCUCUAGAAGAAUCUGAUGCUGAGGAGGACCUGUAUGAUGCUGCUGCAGCUUCAGCAAUGGUGUCUUCAUCCGCCCCGUCGGUGUACAGCGUGCAAGCCCUCUCUCUCCUGGCAGAGGUGCCAGUGAGCGUGGGCCGCACCCUCCCAGGUACUGGCUUCCCUCCUGGACAUGGUUUAUCGAAGUGAUGAGAAGGAGAAAGCUGUGCCGUUAAUCUCCCGUCUGCUUUACUAUGUUUUUCCAUACUUACGCAACCACAGUGCCUACAAUGCUCCCAGCUUCCGGGCUGGCGCUCAGCUGCUGAGCUCCCUGAGUGGCUAUGCCUACACAAAGCGAGCCUGGAGGAAGGAGGUCCUGGAGCUGUUUCUCGACCCCGCUUUCUUUCAGAUGGAUACUUCCUGUGUUCAUUGGAAGUCCAUUAUUGACCAUCUUUUGACUCAUGAGAAAACAAUGUUUAAGGAUUUAAUGAACAUGCAGAGCAGUUCUUUGAAACUAUUCUCAAGUUUUGAACAGAAAGCCAUGCUGUUAAAGCGCCAGGCUUUUGCUGUCUUCAGUGGAGAACUUGAUCAAUACCACCUUUACCUUCCACUGAUACAAGAACGCCUGACAGACAAUCUCAGAGUUGGACAGACAUCCAUAGUUGCUGCUCAGAUGUUUCUUUUUUUCAGAGUUUUGCUGCUAAGAAUAUCUCCUCAACAUUUGACUUCAUUGUGGCCAAUAAUGGUCUCUGAAUUGAUUCAGACAUUCACACAGCUUGAAGAAGAUCUAAAAGAUGAGGAUGAGUCAUUGAGAAGCACCAACAAAGUAAACAGAACGAAAGUUUCAGUCCCGGAUGCAAAUGGACCCUCAGUGGGGGAGAUACCCCAGAGUGAACUCAUCUUGUAUUUAUCAGCUUGCAAAUUCUUGGACACAGCGCUUUCUUUUCCACCUGACAAGAUGCCAUUAUUUCAAAUUUAUAGGUGGGCAUUUAUUCCAGAAGUGGACACAGAGGGCCCUGCCUUCCUGUCGGAUGUAGAGGAGAAUCAGCAAGAAUGCAAACCCCACACUGUCAGGAUUCUAGAACUUCUAAAAUUAAAGUUUGGGGAAAUCAGUAGCUCUGAUGAGAUCACCAUGAAGAGUGAAUUCCCGCUUCUGCGCCAACAUUCUGUUUCCAGCAUCAGGCAGUUGAUGCCAUUCUUCAUGACUCUAAAUGGUGCAUUUAAGACCCAGAGACAGCUGCCUGCUGAUAGCCCAGGAACCCCAUUCCUGGACUUUCCUGUCACAGAUAGCCCAAGGAUCUUAAAACAACUGGAAGAAUGCAUCGAAUAUGAUUUUCUGGAACAUCCAGAAUGUUAACCAUGUGAGAGAGAAUAUGUUUAAUCCAUGUAUUGGUACUUUACUGAAAACCAGGUUAUAUUCUAAAGAAGAAAGAAGGCAGGAUAGUGCUUUUGAACAAGCCUAUUUCCAUUUUGAAAGUAGAUUUCAGGCUAGGUGCGGUGGCUCACACCUGUAAUCUCAGCACUUUGGGAGGCCGAGGCAGGCAGAUCACUUGAGGUCAGGAGUUCGAGACCAGCCUGACCAACAUGGUGAGACCCUGUCUCUACUAAAAAUACAAAAAUUAGCUGGCUGUGGUGGCGGCGCCUGUAAUCCCAGCUACUUGGGAGGCUAAGGCAUGAGAAUUGCUUGAACCCAGGAGGUGGAGGCUGCAGUGAGCCGAGAUCACGACACUGCACUCCAGCUGUGUGACAGAAUGAGACUAUCUCAAAAAAAAAAAAAAGUAGAUUUCAGAUAAUUUACUGUUCAGCAAUAGGACACACCUCCCUAAAUGCCUUGUAAUAUAUUUGAAUCUGAUUCUGCAUUUCUUCCUCAAUUUAUGUAAUGAAAAUAAAAUUAAUAUAUCAUCUAACAGUAGCACAAAAUUUGUAAUAUGAAGUAAAGUAUGAAGAUAAUGAAGAAGUUGUUUUCUUUGUUGAAGCAGUUAUAUGUGUCUUUCUCAGUAUAUUUCUCUUUUCUCUAAAAGUUUAAACUUAUUAAAAGAAUGUUAUUUUUAACCUUUCA
This is an RNA transcript of Pan troglodytes (chimpanzee), 7869 nucleotides long. It is a transcript of the gene named DOP1 leucine zipper like protein B, with no coding region annotated. The transcript is spliced from 38 exons. NCBI's taxonomy places the organism in Eukaryota, Metazoa, Chordata, Mammalia, Primates, Hominidae. The record is from RefSeq and is a predicted model, not a curated record.